AUUGAACGCUGGCGGAAUGCUUUACACAUGCAAGUCGAACGGCAGCACGGGGGCAGCCCUGGUGGCGAGUGGCGAACGGGUGAGUAAUACAUCGGAACGUGCCCGGUCGUGGGGGAUAACGUAGCGAAAGUUACGCUAAUACCGCAUACGAUCUGAGGAUGAAAGCGGGGGACCUUCGGGCCUCGCGCGAUCGGAGCGGCCGAUGUCAGAUUAGGUAGUUGGUGGGGUAAAGGCCUACCAAGCCGACGAUCUGUAGCUGGUCUGAGAGGACGACCAGCCACACUGGGACUGAGACACGGCCCAGACUCCUACGGGAGGCAGCAGUGGGGAAUUUUGGACAAUGGGCGCAAGCCUGAUCCAGCCAUUCCGCGUGCAGGACGAAGGCCUUCGGGUUGUAAACUGCUUUUGUACGGAACGAAAAGGCUCUGGCUAAUACCUGGGGCUCAUGACGGUACCGGAAGAAUGAGCACCGGCUAACUACGUG
This 484-nucleotide ribosomal RNA is filed under the name uncultured bacterium. RNAcentral describes it as "partial 16S ribosomal RNA". It matches the Rfam family "Bacterial small subunit ribosomal RNA", at positions 29 to 507 of the family's 1533-position model. The record is from RNAcentral.